RNAcentral lists this ribosomal RNA (245 nucleotides) under uncultured bacterium. RNAcentral's name for it is "partial 16S ribosomal RNA". It matches the Rfam family "Bacterial small subunit ribosomal RNA", at positions 9 to 244 of the family's 1533-position model. The record is from RNAcentral.
GAGUUUGAUCGUGGCUCAGGAUGAACGCUAGCUACAGGCUUAACACAUGCAAGUCGAGGGGCAUCAGUUUGGUUUGCUUGCAAACCAAAGCUGGCGACCGGCGCACGGGUGAGUAACACGUAUCCAACCUGCCUCAUACUCGGGGAUAGCCUUUCGAAAGAAAGAUUAAUAUCCGAUAGCAUAUAUUUCCCGCAUGGGUUUUAUAUUAAAGAAAUUCGGUAUGAGAUGGGGAUGCGUUCCAUUAG